Molecule: long non-coding RNA, 379 nt
Filed under: Cyanistes caeruleus (blue tit)
Lineage: Eukaryota; Metazoa; Chordata; Aves; Passeriformes; Paridae
Description: lncRNA (ENSCCEG00000015054.1)
Source: RNAcentral
AGAGCACCUUUCUCUGCCCCUGGGCUCUUAAGAGAGACAGCCAGACAAACAUUAGUGACUGGUUGCAGAGUUGGUUUUAGGGGAUGAGGCAGUUUCUCACCAGAGAAUUCUCUUGCUGCUCACAAUAAUCAAUCAAACUCUGGGACCCGACAACCAAAAUCAACAGAGGCAACAAAUCAGGGUCCCAGGCAAUAACAGGAUCAAAUAUGCACCCUUUUGGAAAACCCUUGAAAUUUACUGUAGUAGUGCUGUUUUGCUGAUAUUCCCAUUCCACCGCCUACACUUCAUUAGAAACAGGACUCUUGCUGCUACUUUGAAAUAACACACUUUUAAGAACAUGCACUAAUUUUUCUCACAAAUAAAACCAAUUAUAUUAAAU